This 325-nucleotide ribosomal RNA is filed under the name Paludibacteraceae bacterium. RNAcentral describes it as "bacterial SSU rRNA". It matches the Rfam family "Bacterial small subunit ribosomal RNA", at positions 1 to 323 of the family's 1533-position model. Lineage: Bacteria; Pseudomonadati; Bacteroidota; Bacteroidia; Bacteroidales; Paludibacteraceae. The record is from RNAcentral.
ACAACGAAGAGUUUGAUCCUGUCUCAGGAUGAACGCUAGCGACAGGCCUAACACAUGCAAGUCGAGGGGUAACAGGGGAGCUUGCUUCCGCUGACGACCGGCGCACGGGUGAGUAACACGUAUGCAACCUACCUGUAAGAGGGGGAUAACCCGGAGAAAUUCGGACUAACACCGCAUAAUACCGAUUGGAGGCAUCUUCGAUCGUUUAAAUAUUUAUAGCUUACAGAUGGGCAUGCGUAUGAUUAGCUAGUUGGUGGGGUAACGGCCCACCAAGGCUGCGAUGUCUAGGGGAACUGAGAGGUUGGUCCCCCACACUGGAACUGAG